GGAAAGAUGGCUGAGUGGCCGAAGGCGCUUCCCUGCUAAGGAAGUGUACCCCUUAACGGGUACCGAGGGUUCGAAUCCCUCUCUUUCCG
Molecule: transfer RNA, 89 nt
Filed under: Chlamydiales bacterium
Lineage: Bacteria; Pseudomonadati; Chlamydiota; Chlamydiia; Chlamydiales
Also listed under: 1 other name
Description: tRNA-Ser
Rfam family: tRNA
About the family: Transfer RNA (tRNA) molecules are approximately 80 nucleotides in length. Their secondary structure includes four short double-helical elements and three loops (D, anti-codon, and T loops).
Source: RNAcentral